UGGGGAAUUUUGGACAAUGGGCGAAAGCCUGAUCCAGCAAUGCCGCGUGCAGGAUGAAGGCCUUCGGGUUGUAAACUGCUUUUGUACGGAACGAAAAAGCUUCUCCUAAUACGAGAGGCCCAUGACGGUACCGUAAGAAUAAGCACCGUCUAACUACGUGCCAGCAGCCGCGGUAAUACGUAGGGUGCGAGCGUUCAUCGGAAUUACUGGGCGUAAAUCGUGCGCAGGCGGUUAUGUAAGCCAGAUGUGAAAUCCCCGGGCUCAACCUGGGAACUGCAUUUGUGACAGCAUGGCUAGAGUACGGUAGAGGGGGAUGGAAUUCCGCGUGUAGCAGUGAAAUGCGUAGAUAUGCGGAGGAACACCGAUGGCGAAGGCAAUCCCCUGGACCUGUACUGACGCUCAUGCACGAAAGCGUGGGGAGCAAACA
This 427-nucleotide ribosomal RNA is filed under the name uncultured bacterium. RNAcentral's name for it is "bacterial SSU rRNA". It matches the Rfam family "Bacterial small subunit ribosomal RNA", at positions 355 to 774 of the family's 1533-position model. The record is from RNAcentral.